GUGGGGAAUAUUGCGCAAUGGGCGCAAGCCUGACGAAGCGACGCCGCGUGUAGGAUGAAGGUCUUCGGAUUGUAAACUACUGUCUUUGGGGAGCAAGGCCUCGGUGUGAACAUCAUCGAGGAGUGAUAGUACCCAAGGAGGAAGCCACGGCUAACUCUGUGCCAGCAGCCGCGGUAAUACAGAGGUGGCGAGCGUUGUUCGGAUUUACUGGGCGUAAAGGGUGCGUAGGCGGUCCCGUAUGUCGGAUGUGAAAUCCCAUCGAAAACGGUGGAACGGCAGUCGAAACUGCGGGGCUUGAGUGCAGGAGAGGAUGGUGGAAUUCUCGGUGUAGCGGUGAAAUGCGUUGAUAUCGAGAGGAACGCCGGUGACGAAGGUGACCAUCUGGACUGCUACUGACGCUGAGGCACGAAAGCUAGGGGAGCAAACAGGAUUAGAAACCCCUGUAGUCC
This 449-nucleotide ribosomal RNA is filed under the name uncultured bacterium. Its description in RNAcentral is "bacterial SSU rRNA". It matches the Rfam family "Bacterial small subunit ribosomal RNA", at positions 354 to 796 of the family's 1533-position model. The record is from RNAcentral.